Long non-coding RNA from Leptopilina boulardi, 669 nucleotides. RefSeq lists it as uncharacterized. The record is from RefSeq and is a predicted model, not a curated record. The transcript is spliced from 3 exons. NCBI's taxonomy places the organism in Eukaryota, Metazoa, Arthropoda, Insecta, Hymenoptera, Figitidae.
UGAAAUAUUAAACUAAUAUUUUGUAAUAAUAACUUUGCUAUAAUUUUGUCAAUGAACAUUUUUCUGCUCUUGUUAAAUUAGCAAAAUUUGUUUUUCCAUAUUAAAAUAUUCAUAUAUUUUUUUAUUACUUGUUGAUUUCCAAUUCUAGUAUUUAAAUUCGAUGGUAAUAAGUAAAGCAGUACCUGAAUAUUCAAAUGGAUAUGCAUUAAAUAUAUUAAAUAGAGAAAGGUGUUCAAUGAAAAGGAAAAAAAAUGUCUUGUAUGAAAUUGAAAUCUAAUGGAGUUCUGUUGUCAUGUUAAAGAAUAAAAAGACAUACUAUUGUGCAAUCUUCAAGAGCACGUGGAAGAAAAUGCAAUAGGUUUGGAUUAAUAUGUGUUAAGUUAAGUUGCAACGUCAUAAGUGGUCGAGUCAGAGAUCAAGCGGGAUGAUAGGGAAAGUGGUCUUCUUUUGGAUUAUUUCACAUGAUGCAGUUUCACGUUUUACAUUGGAACAGAGAAAGUAAAAGGCAUUCAUCCAUUGCGGAUAUAUUGUGAUCACGAACCUGUAAGGAACAUGACGACCGUUACCAGCGGCAAGGGCGCUAAUAACAUUGCCAAGCGCCGAGAGGCUGAGAUUUAUACUUGCAGCCUCCUUGAGUCGAUCACCUGUUGCUCCGGUUCGUGUUUGACG